AUUGAACGCUGGCGGCAGGCCUAACACAUGCAAGUCGAGCGGAUGACGGGAGCUUGCUCCUUGAUUCAGCGGCGGACGGGUGAGUAAUGCCUAGGAAUCUGCCUGGGAGUGGGGGACAACGUUUCGAAAGGAACGCUAAUACCGCAUACGUCCUACGGGAGAAAGCAGGGGACCUUCGGGCCUUGCGCUAUCAGAUGAGCCUAGGUCGGCUUAGCUAGUAGGUGAGGGAAUGGCUCACCUAGGCGACGAUCCGUAACUGGUCUGAGAGGAUGAACAGUCACAGUGGAACUGAGACACCGUCCAGACUCCUGCGGGAGGCAGCAGUGGGGAAUAUUGGAAAAUGGGCGAAAGCCUGAUCCAGCCAUGCCGCGUGUGUGAAGAAGGUCUUCGGAUUGUAAAGCACUUUAAGUUGGGAGGAAGGGCAGUAAGUUAAUACCUUGCUGUUUUGACGUUACCGACAGAAUAAGCACCGGCUAACUCUGUGCCAGCAGCCGCAGUAA
RNAcentral lists this ribosomal RNA (500 nucleotides) under uncultured bacterium. RNAcentral describes it as "partial 16S ribosomal RNA". It matches the Rfam family "Bacterial small subunit ribosomal RNA", at positions 30 to 523 of the family's 1533-position model. The record is from RNAcentral.